GACGAACGCUGGCGGCGUGCUUAACACAUGCAAGUCGAACGGAAAGGCCCUGCUUUUGUGGGGUGCUCGAGUGGCGAACGGGUGAGUAACACGUGAGUAACCUGCCCUUGACUUUGGGAUAACUUCAGGAAACUGGGGCUAAUACCGGAUAGGAGCUCCUGCUGCAUGGUGGGGGUUGGAAAGUUUCGGCGGUUGGGGAUGGACUCGCGGCUUAUCAGCUUGUUGGUGGGGUAGUGGCUUACCAAGGCUUUGACGGGUAGCCGGCCUGAGAGGGUGACCGGCCACAUUGGGACUGAGAUACGGCCCAGACUCCUACGGGAGGCAGCAGUGGGGAAUAUUGCACAAUGGGCGGAAGCCUGAUGCAGCAACGCCGCGUGCGGGAUGACGGCCUUCGGGUUGUAAACCGCUUUCGCCUGUGACGAAGCGUGAGUGACGGUAAUGGGUAAAGAAGCACCGGCUAACUACGUGCCAGCAGCCGCGGUGAUACGUAGGGUGCGAGCGUUGUCCGGAUUUAUUGGGCGUAAAGGGCUCGUAGGUGGUUGAUCGCGUCGGAAGUGUAAUCUUGGGGCUUAACCCUGAGCGUGCUUUCGAUACGGGUUGACUUGAGGAAGGUAGGGGAGAAUGGAAUUCCUGGUGGAGCGGGGGAAUGCGCAGAUAUCAGGAGGAACACCAGUGGCGAAGGCGGUUCUCUGGGCCUUUCCUGACGCUGAGGAGCGAAAGCGUGGGGAGCGAACAGGCUUAGAUACCCUGGUAGUCCACGCUGUAAACGGUGGGUACUAGGUGUGGGGUCCAUUCCACGGGUUCCGUGCCGUAGCUAACGCUUUAAGUACCCCGCCUGGGGAGUACGGCCGCAAGGCUAAAACUCAAAGGAAUUGACGGGGCCCCGCACAAGCGGCGGAGCAUGCGGAUUAAUUCGAUGCAACGCGUAGAACCUUACCUGGGUUUGACAUGGAUCGGGAGUGCUCAGAGAUGGGUGUGCCUCUUUUGGGGUCGGUUCACAGGUGGUGCAUGGCUGUCGUCAGCUCGUGUCGUGAGAUGUUGGGUUAAGUCCCGCAACGAGCGCAACCCUUGUUCACUGUUGCCAGCACGUUAUGGUGGGGACUCAGUGGAGACCGCCGGGGUCAACUCGGAGGAAGGUGGGGAUGACGUCAAGUCAUCAUGCCCCUUAUGUCCAGGGCUUCACGCAUGCUACAAUGGCUGGUACAGAGAGUGGCGAGCCUGUGAGGGUGAGCGAAUCUCGGAAAGCCGGUCUCAGUUCGGAUUGGGGUCUGCAACUCGACCUCAUGAAGUCGGAGUCGCUAGUAAUCGCAGAUCAGCAACGCUGCGGUGAAUACGUUCCCGGGGCU
RNAcentral lists this ribosomal RNA (1346 nucleotides) under uncultured bacterium. RNAcentral describes it as "partial 16S ribosomal RNA". It matches the Rfam family "Bacterial small subunit ribosomal RNA", at positions 28 to 1381 of the family's 1533-position model. The record is from RNAcentral.